AGUGAACGCUGGCGGUAGGCCUAACACAUGCAAGUCGAACGGCAGCACAGUAAGAGCUUGCUCUUACGGGUGGCGAGUGGCGGACGGGUGAGGAAUACAUCGGAAUCUACUUUUUCGUGGGGGAUAACGUCGGGAAACUUACGCUAAUACCGCAUACGACCUACGGGUGAAAGCAGGGGAUCUUCGGACCUUGCGCGAUUGAAUGAGCCGAUGUCGGAUUAGCUAGUUGGCGGGGUAAAGACCCACCAAGGCGACGAUCCGUAGCUGGUCUGAGAGGAUGAUCAGCCACACUGGAACUGAGACACGGUCCAGACUCCUACGGGAGGCAGCAGUGGGGAAUAUUGGACAAUGGGCGCAAGCCGGAUCCAGCCAUACCGCGUGGGUGAAGAAGGCCUUCGGGUUGUAAAGCCCUUUUGUUGGGAAAGAAAAGCAGCAGGUUAAUACCCCGCUGUUCUGACGGUACCCAAAGAAUAAGCACCGGCUAACUUCGUG
RNAcentral lists this ribosomal RNA (492 nucleotides) under uncultured bacterium. RNAcentral's name for it is "partial 16S ribosomal RNA". It matches the Rfam family "Bacterial small subunit ribosomal RNA", at positions 29 to 507 of the family's 1533-position model. The record is from RNAcentral.